Potamilus streckersoni is the source of this 75-nucleotide non-coding RNA. Lineage: Eukaryota; Metazoa; Mollusca; Bivalvia; Unionida; Unionidae. The record is from the annotation of a GenBank genome assembly.
AUUCUGGUGGCCUAGUGGUUAGAGCGUCCGCCUCGGAUGCGGGAGGUCGUGGGUUCCAUCCCCGGCCGCGUUAUA